GACGAACACUGGCGGCGUGCCUAAUACAUGCAAGUUGAGCGAUGAAGAUUGGUGCUUGCCCCAAUUUGAAGAGCAGCGAACGGGUGAGUAACGCGUGGGGAAUCUGCCUUUGAGCGGGGGACAACAUUUGGAAACGAAUGCUAAUACCGCAUAACAACUUUAAACAUAAGUUUUAAGUUUGAAAGAUGCAAUUGCAUCACUCAAAGAUGAUCCCGCGUUGUAUUAGCUAGUUGGUGAGGUAAAGGCUCACCAAGGCGAUGAUACAUAGCCGACCUGAGAGGGUGAUCGGCCACAUUGGGACUGAGACACGGCCCAAACUCCUACGGGAGGCAGCAGUAGGGAAUCUUCGGCAAUGGACGAAAGUCUGACCGAGCAACGCCGCGUGAGUGAAGAAGGGUUUCGGAUCGUAAAACUCUGUUGGUAGAGAAGAACGUUGGUGAGAGUGGAAAGCUCAUCAAGUGACGGUAACUACCCAGAAAGGGACGGCUAACUACGUG
RNAcentral lists this ribosomal RNA (497 nucleotides) under uncultured bacterium. RNAcentral's name for it is "partial 16S ribosomal RNA". It matches the Rfam family "Bacterial small subunit ribosomal RNA", at positions 28 to 507 of the family's 1533-position model. The record is from RNAcentral.